RNAcentral lists this long non-coding RNA (568 nucleotides) under Callithrix jacchus (white-tufted-ear marmoset). RNAcentral's name for it is "lncRNA (ENSCJAG00000075447.1)". The record is from RNAcentral. Lineage: Eukaryota; Metazoa; Chordata; Mammalia; Primates; Cebidae.
AGAGAUAAUUCCAUAGGACGGCUGCGCACCUCAACCCAUCUCAGCUCAGUUUCCCCCAUAAAACCAGAGUCUCCAUUAUCUUCAUGUUCUAUCUUAUUGGACCUACUUUGAUGUCUUAGGUCCAGAGGCAGAGGUCCCUGGGGGUGACAUGGGGUAGAGGCAGGAUUCAGGCUCCAUCUUAUCCUCAGUCCUGGCAAGGGAGGUCUCACUGAAGGUGGUGUCAAUUAUGAAUAAUGAACUGUCAUUUCAGAAAGGCCUUUUCCAUUCCUAGUAUUUGCACAAUUCCUCCUUUGCACGCGGUUACCCUGCAGAGGUGCCUGGUGGAUUCGCUGGAAAGACGGCAGGACCCCAGGCAUUGCCACAACUAAGUAGCGUGGGGCUCUGUGCCGCCUGGAUGCAGAAUGUCGACCUUAAGGUGAUCGCUCAGAGCAUUUCUAUCACCAAAGCCGUCACCUCACGCAUUUCAGGCAGGCCUGCAGCAAAGAAGAGUCCACCAGGACCAGCCGGGUGGACUGUGGCGGUGCCCUUGGUCCCGAGUAGGUGGCAGCCGCACAGAGGCUCCGGUUAA